Mesocricetus auratus (golden hamster) is the source of this 282-nucleotide unclassified non-coding RNA. It matches the Rfam family "Metazoan signal recognition particle RNA". Rfam says of the family: The signal recognition particle (SRP) is a universally conserved ribonucleoprotein. It is involved in the co-translational targeting of proteins to membranes. NCBI's taxonomy places the organism in Eukaryota, Metazoa, Chordata, Mammalia, Rodentia, Cricetidae. The record is from Ensembl.
GCGGGGUGCGGUGACACAUGCCUGUAGUCCCCACUACUUGGGAGGCUGAGACAGGAGGAUGGCUUGAGUACAGGAGUUCUGGGGUGUAUUGUGCUAUGCCGAUAGGUUGUCCACACUAAGUUCGGCAUCAGUAUGGUGGCCUCCUGGAUGCAGGGGGCCACCAGGUUGCGUAAGGAGGGGUGAACCGGCCCAGGUUGGAAACAGAGCAGUCAAAACUCCUGUGCCGAUCAGUAGAAUGGCUAAUAUAAAAAACACCAAUGACAGUCUAUGCUGAAAGGAUGU